AACGAACGCUGGCGGCAGGCUUAACACAUGCAAGUCGAACGGUUGUAGCAAUACAGCAGUGGCAGACGGGUGAAUAACACGUGGGAACCUUCCUCGUAGUACGGAACAACUCAGGGAAACUUGAGCUAAUACCGUAUACGUCCGAGAGGAGAAAGAUUUAUCGCUAUGAGACGGGCCCGCGUCCGAUUAGCUUGUUGGUGGGGUAACGGCCUACCAAGGCAACGAUCGGUAGCUGAUCNGAGAGGAUGAUCAGCCACACCUGGGACUGAGACACGGCCCAGACUCCUACGGGAGGCAGCAGUGGGGAACCUUGGUACAAAUGGGCGAAAGCCUGAUCCAGCCAUGCCGCGUGAGUGAAGAAGGCCUUA
This 368-nucleotide ribosomal RNA is filed under the name uncultured bacterium. RNAcentral's name for it is "bacterial SSU rRNA". It matches the Rfam family "Bacterial small subunit ribosomal RNA", at positions 29 to 419 of the family's 1533-position model. The record is from RNAcentral.